RNAcentral lists this ribosomal RNA (253 nucleotides) under uncultured bacterium. RNAcentral's name for it is "partial 16S ribosomal RNA". It matches the Rfam family "Bacterial small subunit ribosomal RNA", at positions 524 to 776 of the family's 1533-position model. The record is from RNAcentral.
UACGGAGGGUGCAAGCGUUAUCCGGAUUUACUGGGGUUAAAGGGUGCGCAGGCGGAUAUGUAAGUCAGUGGUGAAAUCUCCGGGCUUAACCCGGAAACUGCCGUUGAUACUAUAUAUCUUGAAUGCCGUGGAGGUAAGCGGAAUAUGUCAUGUAGCGGUGAAAUGCUUAGAUAUGACAUAGAACACCUAUUGCGAAGGCAGCUUACUACACGGAGAUUGACGCUCAUGCACGAAAGCGUGGGGAUCAAACAGG